This 253-nucleotide ribosomal RNA is filed under the name uncultured bacterium. Its description in RNAcentral is "partial 16S ribosomal RNA". It matches the Rfam family "Bacterial small subunit ribosomal RNA", at positions 524 to 776 of the family's 1533-position model. The record is from RNAcentral.
GACGAAGGAUGCAAGCGUUAUCCGGAUUCAUUGGGUUUAAAGGGAGCGUAGGUGGCCUUAUAAGUCAGUGGUGAAAUCUCGCAGCUUAACUGUGAAAUUGCCGUUGAUACUGUAGGGCUUGAGUACAGAUGCCGUUGGCGGAAUAUGACAUGUAGUGGUGAAAUACAUAGAGAUGUCAUAGAACACCGAUUGCGAAGGCAGCUGACGAAACUGUAACUGACACUGAGGCUCGAAAGUGCGGGGAUCAAACAGG